RNAcentral lists this ribosomal RNA (619 nucleotides) under Microbacterium sp. Its description in RNAcentral is "bacterial SSU rRNA". It matches the Rfam family "Bacterial small subunit ribosomal RNA", at positions 230 to 859 of the family's 1533-position model. Lineage: Bacteria; Bacillati; Actinomycetota; Actinomycetes; Micrococcales; Microbacteriaceae. The record is from RNAcentral.
CUCGCGGCCUAUCAGCUUGUUGGUGAGGUAAUGGCUCACCAAGGCGUCGACGGGUAGCCGGCCUGAGAGGGUGACCGGCCACACUGGGACUGAGACACGGCCCAGACUCCUACGGGAGGCAGCAGUGGGGAAUAUUGCACAAUGGGCGAAAGCCUGAUGCAGCAACGCCGCGUGAGGGAUGACGGCCUUCGGGUUGUAAACCUCUUUUAGCAGGGAAGAAGCGAAAGUGACGGUACCUGCAGAAAAAGCGCCGGCUAACUACGUGCCAGCAGCCGCGGUAAUACGUAGGGCGCAAGCGUUAUCCGGAAUUAUUGGGCGUAAAGAGCUCGUAGGCGGUUUGUCGCGUCUGCUGUGAAAUCCCGAGGCUCAACCUCGGGCCUGCAGUGGGUACGGGCAGACUAGAGUGCGGUAGGGGAGAUUGGAAUUCCUGGUGUAGCGGUGGAAUGCGCAGAUAUCAGGAGGAACACCGAUGGCGAAGGCAGAUCUCUGGGCCGUAACUGACGCUGAGGAGCGAAAGGGUGGGGAGCAAACAGGCUUAGAUACCCUGGUAGUCCACCCCGUAAACGUUGGGAACUAGUUGUGGGGACCAUUCCACGGUUUCCGUGACGCAGCUAACGCA